GCCAGGUGUGGUGGCACACACCUGUAGUCCUAGCUACUUAGGAGGCUGAGACAGGUGGAUCAUUUGAGCCCAGGAAUCGGAGGCUGCAGUGAGCCAUGACUGUGCCACUGUACUCUAACCUGGGCAACAGAGUGAGACCCUGUCUCUA
Molecule: non-coding RNA, 148 nt
Organism: Gorilla gorilla gorilla (western lowland gorilla)
Lineage: Eukaryota; Metazoa; Chordata; Mammalia; Primates; Hominidae
Rfam family: Metazoan signal recognition particle RNA
About the family: The signal recognition particle (SRP) is a universally conserved ribonucleoprotein.
Source: Rfam